CGCCACCCCUGUGGCUGCUACAGGAGCACAGUAGUGAAGGCCUGAGCUCCAGGUUUGAAAGACCCAACUGGAGCGUGGGGCGGGCAGGCAGGGGUUAGUGAAAGGACACUUCCAGGGUUAGGACAGAGCAUUUAGCCUUCUGGAAGAACCCCUGCCUGGGGUGGGACUGUGCAGGCCAGAGAAGGUGGCAUGGGCCUGAACCCACCUGGACUGACUUCUGCACUGAAGCCACAGAUGGAGGGUAGGCUGGUGGGUGGGGGUGGUUCGUUCUCUAGCCGGGGCAGACACCCAGCUGGCUGGGUCCUUCCUCAGCCUUGCCUCCUCCUGUCCCCAACCCUUUCCUUUCCUCCUGCUUGCGGACUGCUGGUCCCCUCUCCUUCCCUCCUUCCAGCUGUUUCUAGUUACCACCUACCCCUGGCCGUGGACUGAUCAGACCAGCAUUCAAAAUAAAAGUUUGUUCCAAGUUGACAGUGUGGUGCUCCCUGCCCAGCCCCUCCAGGUGGAGGUGCUGCCACGGGAACGCAGUUGCUCUGCCUGCCCUGGGGCCCCUGGCGACAGCUGGGAGCAGGGCAGUGCUGUGAGGAGCCCAGCUUUCCCAGUCAGGCAGGCAUGGCUUCCGUGUUCAGGCUCCCUCACCAGCUGGUGACACGGGACAAGCUUACAAACCUUCUCUGAACCUCAGUUUUCUCAUUUACAAGAGGCAAAGCCAUCCAUCACCUUGUGUGGAUUCAGAGAAUGUGAGGCCCUGGGGUGU
RNAcentral lists this long non-coding RNA (754 nucleotides) under Homo sapiens (human). RNAcentral describes it as "non-protein coding lnc-TOMM22-2:2". Lineage: Eukaryota; Metazoa; Chordata; Mammalia; Primates; Hominidae. The record is from RNAcentral.